RNAcentral lists this ribosomal RNA (402 nucleotides) under uncultured prokaryote. Its description in RNAcentral is "bacterial SSU rRNA". It matches the Rfam family "Bacterial small subunit ribosomal RNA", at positions 355 to 774 of the family's 1533-position model. The record is from RNAcentral.
UAGGGAAUAUUAGUAAUGGGCGAAAGCCUGAACUAGCAACACCGCGUGUGCGAAGAAGGCCUUCGGGUUGUAAAGCACUUUUUGAGAGGAUGAGGAAGGACGGUACUCUCAGAAUAAGUCUCGGCUAACUACGUGCCAGCAGCCGCGGUAACACGUAGGAGGCAAACGUUAUCCGGAUUUACUUGGCGUCAAGCGCGUGUAGGUGGUUUGGUAAGUAGAGCGUGAAAGCUCCUGGCUCAACUGGGAGAGGUCGUUCUAAACUGCCGGACUAGAGGAUGGUAGAGGGAGGUGGAAUUCCGGGUGUAGCGGUGGAAUGCGCAGAUAUCCGGAGGAACACCAGUGGCGAAAGCGGCCUCCUGGACCACUCCUGACACUCAGACGCGAAAGCUAGGGGAGCAAACG